AAGUCCAACAGAAAUCAUCAAAAUGUCAAGCUGAAAUUCAGCACUCUGCAAAUGCUGACCAAAGUCCUGCCCGAGGAGCAGCGGAUGCAGUAGAUUGUGCUGACUCAGUGAAGUCAUAGGUCUUGAGUAUCUUCAGCACCUCUGUUGUUUGAACUGGGUGGCCUCCCUUGAUGAACUCAAAGCAUUGUGAAAAAUCAAGCUUGUCCCUCAUCCCUGAUCUGUGACUCCACAGUGUCUAUGCAUAUGCCUGAAUCUUGAUAUCUUUGCAGGAUGUCAGUUCACAGCAAGUUAGAUGUGCUCUAGUCAUCUAAGAAGGCAGCUGAGUUUCUUGGCACUGCCUCCUCUUCCUCUCCAUAACCAUUCAAGGUCAGACCCAGGAAUCUAUUCCCUGCCAUGUGGGACAUGUGGAGAGGCCGCAAUCUUCACCAACUCCUUAUCUCUGUCCUCUUGGCCCCAGACACAGAACUAGCUGUUAUACUCCUUUGGCAAUACUCCCUGAUCUCAUGUCCAUCUGUCAGAAGUCACAGCAGAGAGAUAGAAAGACAAAUGGGCCAUAACAGAAAAAACUUCUUUCUUCCCAGAAUGUCAAGCCU
This 593-nucleotide long non-coding RNA is filed under the name Gallus gallus (chicken). RNAcentral describes it as "lncRNA (ENSGALG00010019251.1)". The record is from RNAcentral. Lineage: Eukaryota; Metazoa; Chordata; Aves; Galliformes; Phasianidae.